This 672-nucleotide ribosomal RNA is filed under the name Inocybe helobia. Its description in RNAcentral is "partial 28S ribosomal RNA". It matches the Rfam family "Eukaryotic large subunit ribosomal RNA", at positions 1 to 653 of the family's 3401-position model. Lineage: Eukaryota; Fungi; Basidiomycota; Agaricomycetes; Agaricales; Inocybaceae. The record is from RNAcentral.
CUGACCUCAAAUCAGGUAGGACUACCCGCUGAACUUAAGCAUAUCAAUAAGCGGAGGAAAAGAAACUAACAAGGAUUCCCCUAGUAACUGCGAGUGAAGCGGGAAAAGCUCAAAUUUGAAAUCUGGCGGUUCUUGGACCCGUCCGAGUUGUAAUCUAGAGAAGUGUUACCUGUGCUGGACCGUGUACAAGUCUCCUGGAAUGGAGCAUCACAGAGGGUGAGAAUCCCGUCUUUGACAUGGACUGCCUGUACGAUGUGGUGCGCUCUCGAAGAGUCGAGUUGUUUGGGAAUGCAGCUCAAAAUGGGUGGUAAAUGCCAUCUAAAGCUAAAUAUUGGCGAGAGACCGAUAGCGAACAAGUACCGUGAGGGAAAGAUGAAAAGAACUUUGGAAAGAGAGUUAAACAGUACGUGAAAUUGCUGAAAGGGAAACGCUUGAAGUCAGUCGCGUCGACUGGAAAUCAACCUAUGCUUCUGCUUGGUGUACUUUCUGGUCGACGGGUCAGCAUCAAUUUCGACCAUUGGAUAAAGUCAUUGGGAAUGUGGCAUCUCAGGAUGUGUUAUAGCCCGUUGUCGCAUACUGUGGUUGGGAUUGAGGGACUCAGCACGCCGCAAGGCCGGGUUUCGACCACGUUCGUGCUUAGGAUGCUGGCAUAAUGGCUUUAAUCGACCCGUC